AAGUCAACCAAUCUCUUUUAUUGUAGUCACUUUAAGCUACCAAUUAGCUAUAAAGGUUUCAUUAUUUUGGGUCAAAUGGUACUUUACCAUUUCCUUGAGUAUAUGUCGUAUAUACACUCAAUGUAGUCAUAAAGAUUUUCAUUCUUAUUUCUUUCGAAUUAAGAGGUGUAACUCUAUGACAUAAUCAUAAAUUUCAAACCAUUCAACUGAGACAGUUUAUAAAUCCUUCUCGACUACCUUG
RNAcentral lists this long non-coding RNA (241 nucleotides) under Malus domestica (apple). RNAcentral's name for it is "long non-coding RNA (MDOM_LNC015335)". The record is from RNAcentral. Lineage: Eukaryota; Viridiplantae; Streptophyta; Magnoliopsida; Rosales; Rosaceae.